Brienomyrus brachyistius is the source of this 541-nucleotide long non-coding RNA. RefSeq lists it as uncharacterized. The transcript is spliced from 3 exons. Lineage: Eukaryota; Metazoa; Chordata; Actinopteri; Osteoglossiformes; Mormyridae. The record is from RefSeq and is a predicted model, not a curated record.
CUUCACUCUGGCUUGCUGAUAGUUUUAUCUUGCAGCAUUAUUCUGAACGUUGCUCUCAUUUGUAUAAGAUGUAAACUGACCUGUACACACUGUGCAGAUGAAAAGAACAGUGAUAUAUCAAAAGUGGAAUGGUCACGCAAGCAAUGCCAUGACGAGGACACACUGAAUUACGCUGCCCUGAACCUUAAGAAGCCAAAACCCAGGAGACAGAAGAAAGACGGGAAUAAUGACACUCUGUAUUCUGACCUCCGCUACAGAGAUUAUGAAUAAAGAUGCUUCUCAUUCAUGUCAGUCACACAGAGUGUUCAGGGUGUAGCUUUAAUAAUGUUCAGAGGAGGGCAGGGGAGCCAGUGCUUCUGAGACUGAAUCACGGGAUUUUACGGAGCACCGGUGCUGAGUUUGGUGUCAGUGUGUUUGGGGCGCAUUUUUACUGGAAGUGCAAAUGUUCAAGCCAGACUGGGGGCUGAGGGAGGGGGAGAGGGGAGCCACAGAGAUUAUUUCUUCAUGGCAUGGGGGGGAAUAAGCGGCUUUAAUGUUGUGG